UUGAUCAAUAAUCUCGCUAUCACGUGCUU
RNAcentral lists this non-coding RNA (29 nucleotides) under Bombyx mori (domestic silkworm). Lineage: Eukaryota; Metazoa; Arthropoda; Insecta; Lepidoptera; Bombycidae. The record is from RNAcentral.